Molecule: ribosomal RNA, 334 nt
Filed under: uncultured eukaryote
Lineage: Eukaryota
Description: partial 18S ribosomal RNA
Rfam family: Eukaryotic small subunit ribosomal RNA
Source: RNAcentral
CCCUUAGAUGUCCGGGGCUGCACGCGCGCUACACUGAGGGAAUCAGCGUGCUAGAAAACCUUGUUUGACAUGGCUAGGUAACCCGUUGAAAAUCUUUCGUGAUUGGGAUCGGGACUUGCAAAUGUGUCCCUUGAACGAGGAAUUCCCAGUAAGUGCGGGUCAUAAGCUCGCGCUGAUUACGUCCCUGCCCUUUGUACACACCGCCCGUCGCUACUACCGAUUGAACGGUUUAGUGAGGGCCUCGGAUUGGUCUCGGCCCGCUCUUUACCGGGCGGCGCCGUUGGUCGAGAAGACGCUCGAACUUGAUCGUUUAGAGGAAGUAAAAGUCGUAACA